This 249-nucleotide long non-coding RNA is filed under the name Capsicum annuum. RNAcentral's name for it is "long non-coding RNA (CANN_LNC019567)". Lineage: Eukaryota; Viridiplantae; Streptophyta; Magnoliopsida; Solanales; Solanaceae. The record is from RNAcentral.
CACAUUGAGAUUGUUGUUUUGAGAAUUUAUGUGCUACAUGCACCCAUGUUUAGACUAUUUUUGAUGAAGUAUAGAAAGAUUUGACCUUUUGGUCACAACAGAGUUAAAAUCCACUUUAUGAAACGAGUUACGGAUUUUAUCAUUUAUUUAACUUAAGAAAUAUGAGAUUACCCUUAAAGUGGAUUUUUCUUGAGAUUUUUGAGCAUAGUAUUGGGAGUAGUAUUUAGCACCGAGUUGGGUAUGUUACUA